UACGUAGGGUCCGAGCGUUGUCCGGAUUCAUUGGGCGUAAAGAGCUCGUAGGCGGUCUGUCGCGUCGGCUGUGAAAACCCGGAGCUCAACUCCGGGCCUGCAGUCGAUACGGGCAAACUGGAGUGUUGCAGGGGAGACUGGAAUUCCUGGUGUAGCGGUGAAAUGCGCAGAUAUCAGGAGGAACACCGGUGGCGAAGGCGGGUCUCUGGGCAACAACUGACGCUGAGGAGCGAAAGCGUGGGGAGCGAACAGG
RNAcentral lists this ribosomal RNA (253 nucleotides) under uncultured bacterium. RNAcentral's name for it is "partial 16S ribosomal RNA". It matches the Rfam family "Bacterial small subunit ribosomal RNA", at positions 524 to 776 of the family's 1533-position model. The record is from RNAcentral.